UACGAAGGGGGCUAGCGUUGCUCGGAAUCACUGGGCGUAAAGCGCACGUAGGCGGGUCUUUAAGUCAGGGGUGAAAUCCUGGAGCUCAACUCCAGAACUGCCUUUGAUACUGAGGAUCUCGAGUCCGGGAGAGGUGAGUGGAACUCCGAGUGUAGAGGUGAAAUUCGUAGAUAUUCGGAGGAACACCAGUGGCGAAGGCGGCUCACUGGUCCAUUACUGACGCUGAGGUGCGAAAGCGUGGGGAGCAAACAGG
Molecule: ribosomal RNA, 253 nt
Filed under: uncultured bacterium
Lineage: Bacteria
Description: partial 16S ribosomal RNA
Rfam family: Bacterial small subunit ribosomal RNA
Source: RNAcentral